RNAcentral lists this microRNA precursor (78 nucleotides) under Schistosoma margrebowiei. RNAcentral describes it as "mir-3492 microRNA precursor family". It matches the Rfam family "mir-3492 microRNA precursor family". Lineage: Eukaryota; Metazoa; Platyhelminthes; Trematoda; Strigeidida; Schistosomatidae. The record is from Rfam by way of RNAcentral.
AGCUUCUCGAAUCCGUGCUGAGAUUUCGUCAGACACAAACCCGACAUUGCUGAUCAGAUUUCCAAGAUAAGUGAAAUU